RNAcentral lists this ribosomal RNA (403 nucleotides) under uncultured bacterium. RNAcentral describes it as "bacterial SSU rRNA". It matches the Rfam family "Bacterial small subunit ribosomal RNA", at positions 355 to 775 of the family's 1533-position model. The record is from RNAcentral.
UAGGGAAUAUUAGAAAUGGACGAAAGUCUGAUCUAGCAACACCGCGUGUGCGAAGAAGGCCUUCGGGUCGUAAAGCACUUUUUGGAAGGAAUAGGAAGGUAUGUACUUCCAGAAUAAGUCUCGGCUAACUACGUGCCAGCAGCCGCGGUAACACGUAGGAGGCGAACGUUAUCCGGAUUUACUGGGCGUAAAGCGCGUGUAGGUGGUUCUGUAAGUAGGGCGUGAAAGCUCCUGGCUCAACUGGGAGAGGCCGUUCUAAACUACAGAACUAGAGGAUGGUAGAGGGAGGUGGAAUUCCAGGUGUAGCGGUGGAAUGCGCAGAUAUCUGGAGGAACACCAGUGGCGAAGGCGGCCUCCUGGACCAUUCCUGACACUCAGACGCGAAAGCUAGGGUAGCAAACGG